RNAcentral lists this long non-coding RNA (1077 nucleotides) under Mytilus galloprovincialis (Mediterranean mussel). Lineage: Eukaryota; Metazoa; Mollusca; Bivalvia; Mytilida; Mytilidae. The record is from RNAcentral.
CUUUAUUCAAUAAUCCUAUAAAUAUUUACAUUCUGCAUGAAAAACGUCGCAAAAGGUACAUUUUGUAUGAAUUAAAUAUCAACGAGUUUAGAGGCCGCCAUCUUGGGCUGUGGGUAACUUAAGUUACCCACAGCCGUUUAAGCACAGUGAAUAUAAAGAAAUCCAAGGUAGCAAAGGAAAUUACAUAUAAAAUAUGAAAGUCGUGUAAUGAACGAACUAAACUUUUGUGAAAUGGAAUGUAACCUUAAUGAUAACUUUUUACAGGAUUUAGGCAAUAACAUGUGUUUUAUUAAUUAUCAUCUUUAGGCAAUGGUCAGAUGAAUAAGAAAGAAAAGCUUAUGGACAACUAUUAUACAUUGCAUGUUAUAUUUUCUUAUCCAUCCGAUGUACUUUACUAUUAAAGUCUGUGAACUUGUAAGUGGCUACAACAAUAAGUAUUUCCACGCCCCUGCAUUGUAAUUCACUUACAACUUCUAAAUUGUAACAGUUACUUUAAAUAUAACUUAGAUCCAAGAAUAUUGUAUAUAAAAACAUCAAUUGUUUUAAGCUCGUCAUUUAUGUUUGACGUCGUUAAUGACAUUUGGACUAAGUAGCCAAUUGUGGUCUUUAGUUGAUUCCAUUUGACAACACUACGAAUACUUAAUAGGAUUUAGAUAUUAUUUCAUCUUCCAUGUUAUAGAGAUAAAUAUUUGGUUAUUACCAUCCCUCAAUUUUGCUGUUGUAAGAAAACAUAUGUAUUGUAACACGUUUUGAAUUGAAAUAUUGAAAUAAGGUAAUGUGGUAUGAUUUCCAUUGAACAAACGCUAUUUGCACUCAAAAUUGGUAUUCGCCUCUCAGUAGAUACUAUGUUUUCAUCGGGCAUUUGCACUUUAUUGAAAAUGUUUGAUAAAUUGACUGCUUGUGUCUCUCUUUAAAUUAAUCUAAAGCUUAGGUUAUGAAGCUUGGUUGAAAACUGAUUUCAAAGGGAUAGCACAUCCUUAAUUUUUUUUACAGAGCCCGGAAAUUUAGAAACGAUUCAGGUAAACUAAUCUAUCCUUUGAAUAAACUUUUUCUAAAAGUUAACUAAUUCAACACUGG